AGUGCUUCAGCCAUCCAUCCAUUUUCUGUACCGCUUCAAACUUUUCAAUUUUAGCUGCCAGUCGAUGAGUUUCUUAUCGUUCUUUGUUAAAUCAGGAAGACGAAUAUGAACAUUUAAAGACACGUUCCAUGAACUUUCUGGGGUUCCGGAUUGUUCGUGUCGAACGGUGCUGGAGCCUAUCCCAUCUAUCUUCGGGCAAGUUUUUGGGAUGUGGAAACCGGAGUACCCGGAGAAAACCCACACAAGCACCGGGAGAACAUGCAAACUCCACACAGGCGGGGCUGGGAUUUGAACACUGGUCCUCAGAACUGUGAGGCGGAUGUGCUCACCAGUCAUCCGCCAUGUGUGGGCUUAGGAGUUGAAUUUGUUCUGUGACCAGGCUUGUAACUCAAAACAGUCAAAGUUGAAAAUCAUGAUGCCCCAUUAAAAUGAAUGGAAAUGCCAUUAAUUCGUUCCAACCCCAGAUUGUACUCCUUCUGCUGUGCGCACCUUGGCCAUCUGGGGGCAGUAUAAUACAGACAGUGACACACGUGAAGAAGAGUUUUACACAGUAUGCUGCUGUAAUAUUAGUUUUGUUCCCCAAAGGAUAAAGAAUGUAUGCCUAUGUGUACUCUUAUAUUGCCUGUCUACAUGUUUUGCUCCACUGUUUGUGUUCAAAUUUCUGUCCCUUAAACAAUUAUAACACCACGACUAUCGAUGCUUUUCGUUCGCCCAUCUACAGCAUUUUGCAUUGUUUGUUAGUAAUAAGGGCUUUCCUGAGGCAAAGCUACAGUAUGUGGUUGUUUGAAAUACACUUGUAAUUCUCUUAAUUUUACAUGUACUUUGACAGUAAACGUCAACUGAAGAUGGCAUUAAAUUAAA
Long non-coding RNA from Phyllopteryx taeniolatus (common seadragon), 861 nucleotides. RefSeq lists it as uncharacterized. The record is from RefSeq and is a predicted model, not a curated record. Lineage: Eukaryota; Metazoa; Chordata; Actinopteri; Syngnathiformes; Syngnathidae. The transcript is spliced from 3 exons.